UAAUUUCUAAAAUUUCUUAAAAACCUAUCUCCUACCCAAAAGUUCUGGCGUUAGAAAUGGCAUUGCAGAGCAAUAACGACGGGCACGACCGCCGCCGACGCCUCCUCAGUCCUGCCGCUCUAUCGAUGCCGGCGACCUCACGAAAUAGUGCAGAUGAAGAGAAGGAAUCGUACGAAAAGGAACUGCACCGAGACGAGAACGAGAUCGAAAUCUCUCCGCCGCCUCCGGACUCGACGGUGGGGCUGCCACCGGAAGAGUACUUCAACUUUUGUGUUGUUGAAUAUAUAUUUCCUUUUAUUUAGUAUUAACAUCCAUCAUUCUUACUGUUGCGGGCGGGGCGACGGAUCUGAAACCUAUUUUUAAUGUGGUUGUGGGAUGUGGAGAAGAUUGUGAUGGUGGCGGUUGUGGCGGUGAUGGUGCAGGAUGGUUGAACUGGUGGUGGGGAGCGGCGGGGCAGCGGCGGGGCAGCGGCGGAGUUGAAGCGGUGCUGAUUUGUGGGUGUGGACUGGUGG
This 512-nucleotide long non-coding RNA is filed under the name Erythranthe guttata (spotted monkey flower). RNAcentral's name for it is "long non-coding RNA (EGUT_LNC000156)". Lineage: Eukaryota; Viridiplantae; Streptophyta; Magnoliopsida; Lamiales; Phrymaceae. The record is from RNAcentral.